RNAcentral lists this ribosomal RNA (239 nucleotides) under uncultured bacterium. RNAcentral's name for it is "partial 16S ribosomal RNA". It matches the Rfam family "Bacterial small subunit ribosomal RNA", at positions 15 to 248 of the family's 1533-position model. The record is from RNAcentral.
GAUCCUGGCUCAGGAUGAACGCUAGCGACAGGCUUAACACAUGCAAGUCGAGGGGCAGCGGGGUGUAGCAAUACACCGCCGGCGACCGGCGCACGGGUGAGUAACGCGUAUGCAACUUGCCUAUCAGAGGGGGAUAACCCGGCGAAAGUCGGACUAAUACCGCAUGAAGCAGGGAUCCCGCAUGGGAAUAUUUGCCAAAGAUUUAUCGCUGAAAGAUGGGCUCGCGGCCGAUUAGGUAG